GCGCGAAAGAGCUUUUUCGAAUAUCGACCUCAGAUUAGACGAGAUUACCCGCCGAAUUUAAGCAUAUAAUUAGGCGGAGGAAAAGAAAUUAACAAAGAUUUCCUUAGUAACG
Molecule: ribosomal RNA, 112 nt
Filed under: Xiphinema diversicaudatum
Lineage: Eukaryota; Metazoa; Nematoda; Enoplea; Dorylaimida; Longidoridae
Description: partial 28S large subunit ribosomal RNA
Rfam family: Eukaryotic large subunit ribosomal RNA (bases 25-112)
Source: RNAcentral